RNAcentral lists this ribosomal RNA (974 nucleotides) under uncultured bacterium. Its description in RNAcentral is "bacterial SSU rRNA". It matches the Rfam family "Bacterial small subunit ribosomal RNA", at positions 8 to 989 of the family's 1533-position model. The record is from RNAcentral.
AGAGUUUGAUCAUGGCUCAGGAUGAACGCUGGCGGCGUGCUUAACACAUGCAAGUCGAACGAUGAUCCCUGGCUUGCUGGGGGGAUCAGUGGCGAACGGGUGAGUAACACGUGAGUAACCUGCCCUUGACUCUGGGAUAAGCCUGGGAAACUGGGUCUAAUACCGGAUAUGACUCCUCAUCGCAUGGUGGGGGGUGGAAAGCUUUUGUGGUUUUGGAUGGACUCGCGGCCUAUCAGCUUGUUGGUGGGGUAAUGGCCUACCAAGGCGACGACGGGUAGCCGGCCUGAGAGGGUGACCGGCCACACUGGGACUGAGACACGGCCCAGACUCCUACGGGAGGCAGCAGUGGGGAAUAUUGCACAAUGGGCGCAAGCCUGAUGCAGCGACGCCGCGUGAGGGAUGACGGCCUUCGGGUUGUAAACCUCUUUCAGUAGGGAAGAAGCCUUUCGGGGUGACGGUACUUGCAGAAGAAGCGCCGGCUAACUACGUGCCAGCAGCCGCGGUAAUACGUAGGGCGCAAGCGUUAUCCGGAAUUAUUGGGCGUAAAGAGCUCGUAGGCGGUUUGUCGCGUCUGCUGUGAAAGACCGGGGCUCAACUCCGGUUCUGCAGUGGGUACGGGCAGACUAGAGUGCAGUAGGGGAGACUGGAAUUCCUGGUGUAGCGGUGAAAUGCGCAGAUAUCAGGAGGAACACCGAUGGCGAAGGCAGGUCUCUGGGCUGUAACUGACGCUGAGGAGCGAAAGCAUGGGGAGCGAACAGGAUUAGAUACCCUGGUAGUCCAUGCCGUAAACGUUGGGCACUAGGUGUGGGGGACAUUCCACGUUUUCCGCGCCGUAGCUAACGCAUUAAGUGCCCCGCCUGGGGAGUACGGCCGCAAGGCUAAAACUCAAAGGAAUUGACGGGGGCCCGCACAAGCGGCGGAGCAUGCGGAUUAAUUCGAUGCAACGCGAAGAACCUUACCAAGGCUUGACAUGA